AACGAACGCUGGCGGCAUGCCUAACACAUGCAAGUCGAACGAGACCUUCGGGUCUAGUGGCGCACGGGUGCGUAACGCGUGGGAAUCUACCCUCAGGUUCGGAAUAACUCAGAGAAAUUUGAGCUAAUACCGGAUGAUGACGUAAGUCCAAAGAUUUAUCGCCUGAGGAUGAGCCCGCGUAGGAUUAGGUAGUUGGUGAGGUAAAGGCUCACCAAGCCGACGAUCCUUAGCUGGUCUGAGAGGAUGAUCAGCCACACUGGGACUGAGACACGGCCCAGACUCCUACGGGAGGCAGCAGUGGAGAAUAUUGGACAAUGGGCGAAAGCCUGAUCCAGCAAUGCCGCGUGAGUGAUGAAGGCCUUAGGGUUGUAAAGCUCUUUUACCCGGGAUGAUAAUGACAGUACCGGGAGAAUAAGCUCCGGCUAACUCCGUG
This 433-nucleotide ribosomal RNA is filed under the name uncultured bacterium. Its description in RNAcentral is "partial 16S ribosomal RNA". It matches the Rfam family "Bacterial small subunit ribosomal RNA", at positions 29 to 507 of the family's 1533-position model. The record is from RNAcentral.